UCCCAAACCAUUGUGAACAUACCUUCAACGUUGCUUCGGCGGGUUGGCCCCGGUCUCCGGGGUNNNNCGGCCCUACUCGGGCGCCCGCCGGAGGUAUCUAACUCUUGAACUUUUAUGGCCUCUCUGAGUCUUUGUACUUAAUAAGUCAAAACUUUCAACAACGGAUCUCUUGGUUCUGGCAUCGAUGAAGAACGCAGCGAAAUGCGAUAAGUAAUGUGAAUUGCAGAAUUCAGUGAAUCAUCGAAUCUUUGAACGCACAUUGCGCCCGCCAGUAUUCUGGCGGGCAUGCCUGUUCGAGCGUCAUUUCAACCAUCAAGCCCCCGGCUUGUGUUGGGGACCUGCGGCUGCCGCAGGCCCUGAAAACCAGUGGCGGGCUCGCUAGUCACUCCGAGCGUAGUAAUACAUCUCGCUCAGGGCGUGCUGCGGGUUCCGGCCGUUAAAAAGCCUUAUUUACCCAAGGUUGACCUCGGA
RNAcentral lists this ribosomal RNA (471 nucleotides) under Chaetomium sp. olrim799. RNAcentral describes it as "eukaryotic LSU rRNA". The stretch from base 150 to 303 matches the Rfam family "5.8S ribosomal RNA". The record is from RNAcentral. Lineage: Eukaryota; Fungi; Ascomycota; Sordariomycetes; Sordariales; Chaetomiaceae.